Molecule: ribosomal RNA, 254 nt
Filed under: uncultured bacterium
Lineage: Bacteria
Description: partial 16S ribosomal RNA
Rfam family: Bacterial small subunit ribosomal RNA
Source: RNAcentral
UACGGAGGAUCCAAGCGUUAUCCGGAAUUACUGGGCGUAAAGAGUUGCGUAGGUGGCAUGGUAAGUUGAUAGUGAAAUUGUCCGGCUCAACCGGAUACACAUUAUCAAAACUGCCAAGCUAGAGGACAAGAGAGGUCACUGGAAUUCCUAGUGUAGGAGUGAAAUCCGUAGAUAUUAGGGGGAACACCGAUGGCGUAGGCAGGUGACUGGCUUGUUCCUGACACUAAGGCACGAAAGCGUGGGGAGCGAACGGG